Non-coding RNA from Linepithema humile (Argentine ant), 651 nucleotides. Lineage: Eukaryota; Metazoa; Arthropoda; Insecta; Hymenoptera; Formicidae. The record is from RefSeq and is a predicted model, not a curated record.
UUUGUUUCAAAAUAAAAUGCUUAUCAAAACUAUUAAAAUUUAUUUGUAUGCCUUGCAUUAUAUCGUGCAUCCUUUUGAAAUAGCAAAUAUAACAUGUAUUUAUUCAUUAAUGCACAAAAUUGUUACAUAUACAUAUGGCAAGGUAGAUAUAGGCUUUACACAUAAGUGGUCAAAAUCAGUAGCGUCCUGUCGCAACAGUACAGUGGCAUAGCAGUGAAACAGCUCGUAAAGGAUCUUUUAGCAAAAUUAAUAGCAUUUUUGCUUGAAAAAAUUUAGAUCAAUCAGGGAGCGAUAAUGAUCAUUACUGAUAUGAGAUAAAACCAAAAUUGGAUCUGUCGUGGAUUGCUAAUGAUAUAAUAAAAACCUGAACUGUGUUCAACCAAAAUUUUAUAACCUGAAAAAGAGGAACAAAUAUAAAAUUCACUCGUCUUUCGGUUCAUGUUAUAUCAUUUUUAAACAUUGUGGAUAACAGAAUGACAUCUAACAGUAAUAAUCAUAUUGUUUGGAUUGAUAUGGAGAUGACUGGGCUUGAUAUAGAGAAACAUCAUAUAUUAGAAAUUGCUUGUGUUGUAACAGAUAUGACAUUAAAGAUUAUUAGUGAAGAAUUAAAUAUUAUAAUACAUCAAUCGGAUACGAUAUUGAAUAAUAUGG